ACGGGAGGCAGCAGUGGGGAAUAUUGCACAAUAGGGGAAACCCUGAUGCAGCGACGCCGCGUGAGCGAAGAAGUAUUUCGGUAUGUAAAGCUCUAUCAGCAGGGAAGAAAAUGACGGUACCUGACUAAGAAGCCCCGGCUAACUACGUGCCAGCAGCCGCGGUAAUACGUAGGGGGCAAGCGUUAUCCGGAUUUACUGGGUGUAAAGGGAGCGUAGACGGAAUGGCAAGUCUGAUGUGAAAGGCCGGGGCUCAACCCCGGGACUGCAUUGGAAACUGUCAAUCUAGAGUACCGGAGGGGUAAGCGGAAUUCCUAGUGUAGCGGUGAAAUGCGUAGAUAUUAGGAGGAACACCAGUGGCGAAGGCGGCUUACUGGACGGUAACUGACGUUGAGGCUCGAAAGCGUGGGGAGCAAACAGGAUUAGAUACCCUGGCAGUCCACGCCGUAAACGAUGAAUACUAGGUGUUGGGGAGCAAAGCUCUUCGGUGCC
RNAcentral lists this ribosomal RNA (489 nucleotides) under uncultured bacterium. RNAcentral describes it as "bacterial SSU rRNA". It matches the Rfam family "Bacterial small subunit ribosomal RNA", at positions 341 to 847 of the family's 1533-position model. The record is from RNAcentral.